Molecule: ribosomal RNA, 460 nt
Filed under: uncultured bacterium
Lineage: Bacteria
Description: partial 16S ribosomal RNA
Rfam family: Bacterial small subunit ribosomal RNA
Source: RNAcentral
CCUACGGGUGGCUGCAGUGAGGAAUAUUGGUCAAUGGACGCAAGUCUGAACCAGCAAUGCCGCGUGCAGGAAGACGGUUUUCUGAGUUGUAAACUGCUUUUGUACGAGGGUAAACGCAGAUACGUGUAUCUGGCUGAAAGUAUCGUACCAAUAUGGAUCCGCUCACUCCGUGCCAGCAGCCGCGGGAAUACGGAGGCUUCAAGCGUUAUCCGGAAUUAUUGGGUUGAAAGGGUGCGUAGGCGGUCGGAUAAGUUAUAUGUGAAAUCCCGAGGCUCAACAUCAGAAUUGCCUCUGAUACUGUACAGCUAGAGAGUAGUAGCGGUAGGCGGAAUGUAUGGUGUAGCGGUGAAAUGCGUAGAUAUCAGACAGAACACCGAUUGCGAAGGCAGCUUACCGGGCUACUUCUGACGUUGAGGCACGAAAGCGUGGGGAGCAAACAGGAUUAGAUACCCUAGUAGUC